UGAGGAAUAUUGGUCAAUGGGCGGAAGCCUGAACCAGCCAUGCCGCGUGCAGGAAGGAGGCCCUACGGGUUGUAAACUGCUUUUACCCGGGAAGAAACCGCCCCCUGUGGGGGGCGUUGCCGGUACCGGGGGAAAAAGGAUCGGCUAACUCCGUGCCAGCAGCCGCGGUAAUACGGAGGAUCCGGGCGUUAUCCGGAAUUACUGGGUUUAAAGGGUGCGUAGGCGGGGCUUUAAGCCGGCGGUGAAAUGGCGGGGCUCAA
RNAcentral lists this ribosomal RNA (260 nucleotides) under uncultured prokaryote. RNAcentral's name for it is "partial 16S ribosomal RNA". It matches the Rfam family "Bacterial small subunit ribosomal RNA", at positions 355 to 612 of the family's 1533-position model. The record is from RNAcentral.